GAUGAACGCUGGCGGCGUGCCUAAUACAUGCGAGUCGGGCGAACGGACGAGAAGCUUGCUUCUCUGAUGUUAGCGGCGGACGGGUGAGUAACACGUGGAUAACCUACCUAUAAGACUGGGAUAACUUCGGGAAACCGUAGCUAAUACCGGAUAAUAUUUUGAACCGCAUGGUUCAAAAGUGAAAGACGGUCUUGCUGUCACUUAUAGAUGGAUCCGCGCUGCAUUAGCUAGUUGGUAAGGUAACGGCUUACCAAGGCAACGAUGCAUAGCCGACCUGAGAGGGUGAUCGGCCACACUGGAACUGAGACACGGUCCAGACUCCUACGGGAGGCAGCAGUAGGGAAUCUUCCGCAAUGGGCGAAAGCCUGACGGAGCAACGCCGCGUGAGUGAUGAAGGUCUUCGGAUCGUAAAACUCUGUUAUUAGGGAAGAACAUAUGUGUAAGUAACUGUGCACAUCUUGACGGUACCUAAUCAGAAAGCCACGGCUAACUACGUG
RNAcentral lists this ribosomal RNA (497 nucleotides) under uncultured bacterium. RNAcentral describes it as "partial 16S ribosomal RNA". It matches the Rfam family "Bacterial small subunit ribosomal RNA", at positions 28 to 507 of the family's 1533-position model. The record is from RNAcentral.